UUCUCGCCGUAAGCUAACUUCCUUCAACUCCUUUCCUUCCGCUCUCAUUCUCACCUCCGCGAUCUGCCCUAAGCUCUUUGCCUUCAGCUAGCACUAACACCCCCUCACCAACCGCUUGAGCCCUCAACUCUCUUCUUCUUUUCUUCAGCUUCGCCUACUUCUCCGACUCCCUUAGCUUCAGCUCUGCCUCCGGCUUGUCUCUUCACCUUCAGCUUCCUCUAGCUCCUCCUUCAGCUUGUCUCGGCGCCUCUGCUGUACUGGGACUUCAUGACCAUCCGUCCACCCAGAUAUAAGCAUUUUGGGCUAUAAAAGAAAGCCAGAAGAAGAAGAUUGGGAACAAGGGAGAGUUUGAAUUAAAAAUGACACUGAUUCAGAAAAUUUAGGAGGAACGCACAAGAAGAAGAAAGGCAAGGAGUUAUGAAAUGACCUCUUGAUUUGGGUUUUCGAACAGUAACAAGUAAUGUCUUCCUACUAAAAUUGAAUCAAUGUUUAUGGAUCCAAGAUUUGGUAAUGAAGGAAUGUAUUUGUGGA
Molecule: long non-coding RNA, 531 nt
Organism: Prosopis cineraria
Lineage: Eukaryota; Viridiplantae; Streptophyta; Magnoliopsida; Fabales; Fabaceae
Exons: 2
Source: RefSeq, a predicted model, not a curated record